GACGAACGCUGGCGGCGUGCUUAACACAUGCAAGUCGAACGGAAAGGCCCUGCUUUUGUGGGGUGCUCGAGUGGCGAACGGGUGAGUAACACGUGAGUAACCUGCCCUUGACUUUGGGAUAACUUCAGGAAACUGGGGCUAAUACCGGAUAGGAGCUCCUGCUGCAUGGUGGGGGUUGGAAAGCUUCGGCGGUUGGGGAUGGACUCGCGGCUUACCAGCUUGUUGGUGGGGUAGUGGCUUACCAAGGCUUCGACGGGUAGCCGGCCUGAGAGGGUGACCGGCCACAAUGGGACUGAGAGACGGCCCAGACUCCUACGGGAGGCAGCAGUGGGGAAUAUUGCACAAUGAGCGGAAGCCUGAUGCAGCAGCGCCGCGUGCGGAAUGACGGCCUUCGGGUUGUGAACCGCUUUCGCCUGAGACGAAGCGUGAGUGACGGUAAUGGGUAAAGAAGCACCGGCUAACUACGUG
RNAcentral lists this ribosomal RNA (468 nucleotides) under uncultured bacterium. RNAcentral describes it as "partial 16S ribosomal RNA". It matches the Rfam family "Bacterial small subunit ribosomal RNA", at positions 28 to 507 of the family's 1533-position model. The record is from RNAcentral.